RNAcentral lists this transfer RNA (96 nucleotides) under Cotesia glomerata. RNAcentral's name for it is "tRNA-Tyr". It matches the Rfam family "tRNA". From Rfam's summary of the family: Transfer RNA (tRNA) molecules are approximately 80 nucleotides in length. Their secondary structure includes four short double-helical elements and three loops (D, anti-codon, and T loops). Further hydrogen bonds mediate the characteristic L-shaped molecular structure. tRNAs have two regions of fundamental functional importance: the anti-codon, which is responsible for specific mRNA codon recognition, and the 3' end, to which the tRNAs corresponding amino acid is attached (by aminoacyl-tRNA synthetases). tRNAs cope with the degeneracy of the genetic code in two manners: having more than one tRNA (with a specific anti-codon) for a particular amino acid; and 'wobble' base-pairing, i.e. permitting non-standard base-pairing at the 3rd anti-codon position. The record is from RNAcentral. Lineage: Eukaryota; Metazoa; Arthropoda; Insecta; Hymenoptera; Braconidae.
CCUUCAAUAGCUCAGUUGGUAGAGCGGUGGACUGUAGUUGUAUGAUAAUCAAGAGUAGAAAUCCAUAGGUCGCUGGUUCAAAUCCGGCUUGAAGGA